RNAcentral lists this ribosomal RNA (592 nucleotides) under uncultured bacterium. RNAcentral describes it as "bacterial SSU rRNA". It matches the Rfam family "Bacterial small subunit ribosomal RNA", at positions 900 to 1503 of the family's 1533-position model. The record is from RNAcentral.
CUCAAAGGAAUUGACGGGGCCCGCACAAGCGGAGGAGCAUGUGUUUAAUUCGAUGAUACGCGAGGAACCUUACCUGGGCUUAAAUGUAGGACGACGUUUCGUGAAAGCGGAAUUUCCUUCGGGACGUCUUACAAGGUGCUGCAUGGUUGUCGUCAGCUCGUGCCGUGAGGUGUCGGGUUAAGUCCCAUAACGAGCGCAACCCCUAUCAUUAGUUGCCAUCAGGUCAAGCUGGGAACUCUAAUGAAACUGCCUACGCAAGUAGUGAGGAAGGUGGGGAUGACGUCAAAUCAGCACGGCCCUUAUGUCCAGGGCGACACACGUGCUACAAUGGCCAGUACAGAGGGUUGCUACCUGGUGACAGGAUGCUAAUCUCGAAAGCUGGUCUCAGUUCGGAUUGAAGUCUGCAACUCGACUUCAUGAAGUUGGAUUCGCUAGUAAUCGCGCAUCAGCCAUGGCGCGGUGAAUACGUUCCCGGGCCUUGUACACACCGCCCGUCAAGCCAUGGGAGUUGGGGGUACCUAAAGUCCGUAACCGCAAGGAGCGGCCUAGGGUAAAACCAAUGACUGGGGCUAAGUCGUAACAAGGUAACCGU